Aquila chrysaetos chrysaetos is the source of this 1627-nucleotide long non-coding RNA. RefSeq lists it as uncharacterized. The record is from RefSeq and is a predicted model, not a curated record. The transcript has 5 exons. NCBI's taxonomy places the organism in Eukaryota, Metazoa, Chordata, Aves, Accipitriformes, Accipitridae.
UUUACAUCUGAUGCCUUUGUUUGGAAGUUCUGCAUCACAGGUAAUAACAAUGAGGAUACUCACAAUCAUAAUGAUUUUCCAAAGAGUGGAUUACCCAGAGCGAGAUAUGUGAAGUCAGAUGGAAGUCCUGGUGAGGAUCUCCAGCUGCAGGGUUCUCUCCUGCUCAGACCCUCGAGCUUGGGAUUUAGUUGCAGACUCCACUGAGGCUUUGUGCAGAUUCAAGAGACCCCAGUGCAGAGACUUUGCAUUGAUCUGAAGGGAUGUUCAAAACCCAUCUCUGGUCCUCCAGGAACAAUAAUGACUCCUCCUACAGCGGAGGAUUCCAUGGAGCUAAUCGGAAGUAUCAAAAAAAAUUCAAACUUCUGGCUGGAGAAGGUCACCCAGAACUCAGCACCACUUCGGAGUUUUUCGGCUCCCACUAAAGAAACUUGUGCUGUGGACUCUUUUCCAUCAUGUGUCUGAUGCAAAGAUGUAUGCCUGUCUUGUGACCUGCUGUUGGAGGACAAAAGGAGGACUCGGAUCCCCCACUGACACCUUUAGAGCUGGAAACCAGUGAACUCUUACUUUCUUUCAAAAACCGUGCUCGGUGUGACUUGUUGAAAGUGCUUUGGUUAUAAAUUGAAACUGGGCUAAUUUGGAUUACCGUUGCUACAGCAUCUACCUAGACAGCAGUUCUUGAGCAUGAAGAGGAUCACUCCUAUUAACUAUGUUAAUACCAGCAUUAAAACAUCAGCUGGUAAUUUAUCCCCUUUCUCCAAUACCUACACAGCAGUCCAGUAAAUAUGCUUUGAUUAUCUGGAACAAGAAAAUGGGGCUGGGAAAAGGCAUAACUCUUUGAAGAAGGAAAAGAAACCAAAAAGAUUGGGGAAGAAGAAGCAGAAAAAAAAGGGAAGAAUCAGAAGAGACAUGGAAAAAGAGAAUCAGAAAAUCACAGAGGACUGAAAAGUAAGCAUAACUGAACUUGUAAUUUGGCUCUAAGAAUUCAUUCAUUCAAUUUAUUCCUCCCAAGUGUAGGAAACUUGGAUGGAAUGCCAGUAUCCAAAAAACUAUGUCCAGAUUUCAGGAAUGUUGGGCAAAAUGGAGAUCCACAGUUUUAGAACCACCUAAAAAAAAGUGCUUUUUUCAUUAUUGUUACUAAUGUUAGCCUUCUAUUUUGGUAUAUACAAAUAAUGAAUAUUUCAUGUCCACUAUUUAGAAAAUACUCAGUAUUUUUUACUAGCAGAAAACAAGACAAGAUGGUACAAGUUCUAAUAGUCAAGUAGUAAGAAAAUUACAAGACUGAAGAAAAAAUGAGAAGAUUGAGAAUCCUGAGAAAAGGAAAUUAUUUUAAGAAUUUUAAUAAUUAGAAAGCAGUCUGAAAUGUUCAUGUAUUCUUUUUUGCUAUAUUCAACACAAAUCUAGCAUAACUGAUUACUUACCACAUUCACACAUUAUCAUUAACAACACUGGGGACCAGAGAGAUGAAUUAUUCAAGUAAAAAUUGCAUAAAUAGACUCUUGAAGACAUUGUUUUUUCAUAUCUUUCUCUAAAAGUAGCAAUUCUCUUAUUCUUACUACUCUUUUAAAUAAAAAAUUUAGUAGGAAAAGGAAAAAAAAAUCUCAGAAUAAUUAGUGAAGUCAACUUAAUG